GACGAACCGAGCGAACGUUGUUCGGAAUAACCGGGCUUAAAGGGCGCGUAGGCGGGCCGCCAAGUUCGAGGUGAAAUCCUCCGGCUCAACCGGAGAACUGCCUCGAAUACUGGAGGCCUCGAGGCGGGUAGGGGCAUGCGGAACUGUGGGUGGAGCGGUGAAAUGCGUUGAUAUCCACAGGAACUCCGGUGGCGAAGGCGGCAUGCUGGACCCGAUCUGACGCUGAGGCGCGAAAGCCAGGGGAGCAAACGGG
RNAcentral lists this ribosomal RNA (253 nucleotides) under uncultured bacterium. RNAcentral describes it as "partial 16S ribosomal RNA". It matches the Rfam family "Bacterial small subunit ribosomal RNA", at positions 524 to 776 of the family's 1533-position model. The record is from RNAcentral.